Non-coding RNA from Camelina sativa (false flax), 212 nucleotides. Lineage: Eukaryota; Viridiplantae; Streptophyta; Magnoliopsida; Brassicales; Brassicaceae. The record is from RefSeq and is a predicted model, not a curated record.
AUAAUAAUCUCGACUAAUUCGUUUCAGGAUUCAUAUGGCCUACAAAAACUGAGGCAGACCGUGGGAAACUCCAGCUACACCAACAGGUUCCCAGUUCCUUUGUCUCUUGAAGUAAUCAGAUCACGGCUUGAGAACAACUAUUACCGGAGUAUGGAAGCACUAAGACAUGACGUAUCAGUAAUGUUGUCGAAUGCAGAAACUUUCUUUGGUCG